GUAAAGCGCGCGUAGGCGGCCAAAUCAGCCGGUUGUGAAAGCCCCGGGCUCAACCUGGGAACGGCAUCCGGAACUGUUUGGCUAGAGUGCAGGAGAGGAAGGUAGAAUUCCCGGUGUAGCGGUGAAAUGCGUAGAGAUCGGGAGGGAUACCAGUGGCGAAGGCGGCCUUCUGGACUGACACUGACGCUGAGGUGCGAAAGCGUGGGUAGCAAACAGGAUUAGAUACCCUGGUAGUCCACGCCGUAAACGAUGUCGACUAGCCGUUGGGUGCCUCGAGCACUUUGUGGCGAAGUUAACGCGAUAAGUCGACCGCCUGGGGAGUACGGCCGCAAGGUUAAAACUCAAAUGAAUUGACGGGGGCCCGCACAAGCGGUGGAGCAUGUGGUUUAAUUCGAUGCAACGCGAAGAACCUUACCUACCCUUGACAUCGUGCGAACCCGGAAGAGAUUCCGGGGUGCCUUCGGGAGCGCACAGACAGGUGCUGCAUGGCUGUCGUCAGCUCGUGUUGUGAAAUGUUGGGUUAAGUCCCGUAACGAGCGCAACCUUUGUCCUAUUGCCAGC
Molecule: ribosomal RNA, 561 nt
Filed under: uncultured bacterium
Lineage: Bacteria
Description: bacterial SSU rRNA
Rfam family: Bacterial small subunit ribosomal RNA
Source: RNAcentral